UUUUUAGCCGCCAAGAAACAACAGCGCCGACGAGUCAGAACAGCCGUGAAACACUGUCACAACGGAAGGAUUUCGCCGGAGGGAGAGGAGGAUGUCAAGAUGGUAUCGGCGGGAUCUAAGCUGAUGAGUUUAGUAGACAUUGAUGAGUUUUCUGCGGCGGAGUUUAUGCAUAGAAUCUCGAUUUCGAAGUCUAAGAAACCGAAGCUGGAAACCAUAGCUGAAGAAGAAUCUCUCUUAAGCGGACUUGAAAUCAAACAAUUAUUGGAACUUGAUUUUUUCAACGCUUUUUUUAAUUUUAGUUAUUGUUCUUGUUUGUAGUGUUAUUGAGAAUGAGCAUGUAAUGAUAAAGUUCUUUAAUUUUAUGUAAAUGUAAAUUAGUAAUCUUAAGCUCUUAACCAUUAUUUUUAUAGUAUUUGUUUUUCAUCAGUAUUUAAUUAAUAAUUUAAUGAAUGCUAAAAUCAAAAUUACACCAUCUUUUAUUUUUUUUCUUAAAACAACUAUUAAAAUGAUUUAAAAGUUGUAGUAUAUAGGUAUUUAUACAGAAAAAAACAUACAGUUACAAUAAUAAAAUCUACAGACUAAAUGAAUCCUACAACAAAAUUCUAUGUAAGUUACAUCAUGUGAAGGUAAUGAUCUGGUGAUGAGAAUUUUGCUGACAAGUCUGUGGAAGAGAAGGCUUCACUAAAUCUGACUUGUAGUAAGGAGACUCUGGAAGAGCUUAGGAUUCGUUUGCACAAAUGGGUCACACAAGAAACAAACAGAUAUGAGUAAAUGGACAUGGAGAAACGUAGUCAAAAUAGUUGAUAAUUUCCAUGAACACGAGACUGUAACUCUACGAGCAAGUCUCUUCGAAACUGGAGUUUUCUACACUGCUAAGCUACUUUCUACAAUUUCAAAAGCAACUGAUUCUACUACUACUGUAAAUACUAUAUAUCGUGGUGCUAAUGCUAUAAGUAAUUAGACAUUCCUUAGUAAAAUAAAAUUUAUCAAACAAGGUUAUAGAAACGUGACGGAGAAUUGUAGAGAGAAUAUGAUCAUGCUAAGGAAUGGACUUGAGAAGACAGAAACGUUCAACAUCGUAUCAAAGAACGAGGGAGUGCCGCUUGUCGCUUUCUCCUUGAAAGAUAGCAGCUCUCACACUGAGUUCGAAAUCUCCGACAUGUUCGCAGGUUAGUUUUUAUUUGAGACAGAAACUCUAUGAAAUAUUCUAAAGACAGGUGUCAUUUGAUAAACAAUAAUUCCUUAAAAUAAUUAUAUAAGUGAAUGAAAAUAUAUAAAAAAAUUUGUAAUUAUUUUUUGAAAAGUUUAGCAAUGGAGAUGCUCUAAUAUCUCAAAUACUCUUUCACAUUUCGAAAGGUUUCACUUUGAUAUGAUUCAUGCACUUGAGAGUAAAUACAUAAGUUAGACGUUAAUUGAUACUUCAAAGAUUCAUAAAAAUAAGUAACUAGAUUUGUGUUUGAAUAUGAUGUAUCGAAAACUUGUCUGUUUAUAUAUUGAAAUGUAGGUACGGAUGGAUAGUACCGGCGUAUACAAUGCCUCCUAACGCACAACACAUAACAGUUCUUCUAGUGGUCAUCAGAGAAGAUUUUUCAAGAACACUCGCUGAGAGAUUUGUAAUCGAUAUUGAGAAAGUGAUGCGUGAGCUCGAUGAGCUUCCUUCACGAGUAAUCCAUAAAAUUUCGCUAGGCACUACAAGAAAACAUCGGUAUUCUGACGGACAUUCCGAUGGAAAAUGAAAUCCUCAGAAUUUCCUGAGGAAUUUCCGAGGAAAUUCCGAGGAAGCCCAAAUUUUGGGUUUCCUCGGAAUUUCCUCGGAAUAUACCGACGGAAUUCCGAGGAAACAUUAAUCCGUCGGUAUAUUCCGAGGAAAUUCCGAGGAGAAAUGUGUUCCUCACAAAAUUCCGAGGAAAUUUCGACGAACAAGUGACCGAUCGAUGCGUUUUUGGACAUAUACCCAUCGAUCGAUCACAUUGUUACGCUUUGGUCCAUCUUAGUGAUCGAUCGAUGCGUUUUUGGACAUAAAUCCAUCGAUCGAUGCGUUUAUAAAAAAACAUUUGAGAUUUUGAAACCCCAAACACUAGUUCCUCGGAAUUUCCUCGGAAUAUUCCGAGGAAAUUCCGAGGAACACUUGAUAUUCUAGAUCUAUCGAUGGGAUAAUCUCAUCGAUCGAUCACAUUCUUACGGUCCGGUCUAUCUUAGUGAUCGAUCGAUGCGUUUUUGGACAUAUAUCCAUCGAUCGAUCCGUUUAUAAAAAAACUUACAAGAUUUUCCGAGGACAUUCCGAGGAACAACUAAUACUAUACGUUAUAAUGACCUGUAUAGGCCAUUUACUCAUUUUGUGUUAAAAAAAAAAGACCAGACAAUACUAUUCAAGAAAAUACUCCACAAGAUUUGUAACUAAUUCAUUGUAAAUUUGAACAAAGAUUUAAAAAAAAAAAAAAAAAUUGUAACAAAGAAUGUGUGGAGAAGAGUAAUCAGUGUUGUAGAGGAUGGAUUCGACCAUCCCACAGGGCCCGAGGAAUAGGAAGGCCUGGCCCGAGUUAGGAAGAGCGACGGCUCGAUCUGUCGGCUCGAGAGUCAGGUCUCUCGGCUUGACUCUUGAGUACUUCUAGCUGACCAUCGUCGACUGAAGAGCGUUCGGCUCAGCGGUUGCUCGAACACCUACGGGCCUCUCGGCCCAGCAAAGGAGGCCCACCAAGAUGGCGUAAAAUUAGGUCAAGAGCGAAGCAUCGGGACGUCUAUAUAAGGGAAAGAAGAGGCAACGAGAAGGGGAUCCAAAAAUACUGACCAAGACUUGACGGCUAGAUUAGGGUUUUUCACCUUUACUUCGUCUCGCCGUUAAUUAUACUUCUCCGGUAGCUUGUCGAGCCACCGGUUUCCUUUCUGUCGCACUCUCCUCUUAUUUCCUUGUAACCGAUCGAACGUUUUCUCUCCGACCAUCAAUAAGACGUCUUUGUUUAAGCCCACAUCUUAUUUAUUACCGUUUCACGAUCAAACAUUUAUAAAACAUUUUUUUAUUUAUAAACACUAUUUUAUUAUUUUUUGUAUUUAUAAAAACUAUUUUGUAUUUAUAAAAAGAUGAUUUCAUAUUUAUAAAAAUAUUUAUAUUUAUUAAAACUAAUUUUGUAUUUAUAAAACAUUUUUUUAUUUAUAAAAACUAUUUUAUUAUUUUUUGUAUUUUAAAUAUGUUUUCUAUUUCAAUUUUAAUUUUAUAUUUUUGAAUUUCAAUUUAAAAAAAUAAAUUUAUAAUUUUUUUUUUUAUUUUGGAAAUAUUCCGAGGAAGUGUAUCCCUCGGAAUAUUCCGACGACAUCUUCCUCGGAAUAUUCCGAGGAAUUUCCGACGAAAAAAGUCCUCAGAAUAUUCCGAGGAAAUUCAUUUCCUCGGAAUUCCGUCGGAAAUUUCCGAGGAAUUUCCGAGGAAAGAUGAAUUUCCGAGGAGUUAUUUCCGAUGACUUUUUUCGUCGGUAUGUCGUUGGAAUAGCGUUAUUCCGACGACAUACCGACGAUUUUUUUCCUCAGUAUGCCGCUGUUUUCUUGUAGUGAGGAGAGGAGAAGAGUGAAGCUGACGGCGAUAACUUGAUGGUGACGGUGAAGAAAAGCGAUAUGGAGAAGCAGAGAAAGAUCAUCAAUGGCUGGAAGAAGUUUGUUUCCGACAGGAAGACGACAAAUGGUAUCUGUUAACUAAGUAAUAUAUGAUGAAAAUGUUUGGACUGCUUUAUCAAUAAUGCAUUUGCAUUAAUUCGGAAAUUGAAGGUUUUUUACUUUGUUGUUGUUGAACAAUUAAAGUUUCGUUUGAUUAAUACUUGAAUAUAUUUUGAUAUUAUUGCGACAUUUUGAAUAAAGUUUCUGUGUUUUUGUUAUUAGUUUGUCAUCCAUUACAAAUAGGAUUGGUGAGUCUAGUAAAUGCAUAAUAUUUGGCUUAUAAUAGACUUGCUAAUUAUCUUCAAAUAAAAACAGUCUUAUUAUAAUUGAACUUUUAUAAUGUGCAACAAUAAUCAAACGAAAAGUUACACAAUGAAGUAGUAAACUUUUUUGAUCGAGAAAUGAGAUUUAUUUAUGAUAUUUUUCAAAUAAACUCUAAGCCGGAGAAGGAGCAGUAGCAUCGUGGCUAGAGCAAUGUUUCUUAACAUAGUUGUUAACGAAAGGGUUACGGAACGAUCUGAAAACCGUAUGUUUACAAUUUUCAUUCAAUGUUUUGAUCAUGGCGCAACAUUCAGAAUCAACGGUUGGUUUUCCGGUUAACGUCUUCAUCAAACAUUUUGUUACCAUCUUGUAACUGGAAAAGCACUCCUUUAAUUCCUGAUUUGGGCUGUGUUUGUUAAUAGCCGAGGGCGCGUGAGCGUAACCCGACCAUUGGAGCUCUUCGCCAUCUGUUAGGUCAAGAAAUUGAGAUGUGACACAGCUUGAAAAAAGAACCAUAGCAACAAAAAUUGUGAGAUUCUUCAUUUUCUUUUGAUUACUUGUCGGUGUGAAAUUGAGAAAAAGUGAAUAUGCUUUUAGUUUUGGAUGACUUUAAAAUGAAACUACGUCAGUGUUUAUAUAGAAGUUUACAAUGAAUACUUUUAUAGCACAUACAAACAAAACAUAGAAAAGAAUCAUGACCAGUUAUGUAAGAAAUUGUUAUUAUUCAAUUAAGGACAUAAAUCUAUAAAAUUUGCAUGUUGUUAACCCAAAAAAUUGUAUAAUAUCUUAAUGACCAAAAAUAUGGUAUAAAAUAUUUAUCUAUUAAUAUUAUUAUUUGAUAAGUGAAUUUGUUUACUUGUCAUCUUCUCCAUGAUUUUAGGUUAAAUCAAUAGUUUUAAUAAACAAUUUUAAUUAGACUAAUUAAAUAUCUUUAAUUUCAUUUAUAUUUGUAUGUUAAUAUGAUUUUUUCGUGGUAUUUUCAUUUCAUUUUUAUUUUUCUUUGUACUUUCAUUUUUAUUUGUAUUAUUGUUCUUAUGGUUUUCGUGGUAUUUUAAUUUUUUUUCUUAAUAUUCAGUUAAUAGAAUAAAAUUUAUUUGUUAUUUAAUUUAAAAUUUUUUAUAUUAUUUUAUAUUGGGAAUUAAAUUAUAUUUUUUAAAUAUUUUCAAAAUACCAGUAUCCAAAAGAGAAUAUUUUCAAAAAAAAAAAUUUGAUUUACAACAAGUACCUUAUACAGUAUUUAUAAACAUUAAAAUUAACUUUAUUUAAUUUUAAUGUUUUCAAGAGUUUCACAGAAUUAUAACGUUGUUUAAUUUAAAAUGUAAAGAAAAAUGUGAUUCUCUUUUUUUAUAAACUGCAUUUUCUAAAAUGAUUUUUAUUAGUUAUAAUAUUAAAGUUUGAAAGUUAAAAGAUUAUUUAAUAAUAACAAAUUAUGAUUUUGUAAUAAAGAAAUACUAUUUUAUAGGAAAAUAUCAAUCUCUAUUUUAAAGUAAAAAUAUAGAUUUACUAUAGCUUAUUUUCUCAAUUAUAACAUUUAGAAAUGAAAAUAACAAUAAAUAUAAAAUGUUCUUAUCUUAUGCAUUAUAUAUUAAUGUUUUGUUUGUCAAUAUGAUUGGUCUGUUUGAGUGUUUAUACAAUUAUUAUGGAGGUAUGUUACAGUAUAAUUAUAUAUAUAUAUACCAAUAAUUUUAUUUACUCUGAUUAAUAUAUAUAAUAUAUAAAAUUGGGUUUGGUUUAACAUUCUUAUGCUUUUGAUUUAUUUGAAAUUUUUUGGUUUUGAUAAUUCCAAAAAUUUGGUUUAAUAACAUCACUUAAUAUUAAAAGUUGUAUUUUUUUUAUUUAAUUAAGAAAAAAAUUGAGAAUGACGCUUGGAAGAUGCACAAAGUUUUAUAAAUUAAUAUAAUAAAAACUGGUUAAAGAUAACAACAUAUUUUAAAAUAAAAAAUAUUAAUGUUGUCAUCCAAAAUAAUGUCUUUAAAUCAAUAAACGGUAAAAAUUAAGAAAUUGAAAGAUUCAUAAAAUAGUAUAAAUUUAAUAUUUUAUUUAAGUUUUUUGAUCUUUAAACUAAUAGUACACGGUGGCUGACCUAGCAUCAUAUGUAGUUGGAAGCACAAUACUAAAAAAAAAAACAAAAACAAAAAUAUUACGGACUGGGGGAACUUUUUUUUGUUUAUUCAGUAAACUAAAAACAAUAUAAUCAAAUUAGAACUUAUAUUUGGACUGCUAUCAAUAAUGCAUCUGCACUAAUUCGGAGAUUUGAAGGUUUUCACUUUAUUGUUGUUGAACAAUUUGAUUAGUACUUGUAAUAUUUUUUGAUAUUAUUGCGACAUUUUGAAUAAAGUUUCUGUGUUUUUGUUAUUAGUUUUUCAUCCAUUACAAAUAUGAUUAAUGAGUCUAGUAAAUGCAUAAUAUUUGGCUUAUAAUAGUGUUGCUAAUUAUCUUCAAAUAAAAAAACUAAUUAUAAUUGAACUUGUAUCAUCAUUUAUAAUGUGCAAUAAUAAGCCAAAAAAAAAAUGUUACACAAUCUAGUAGUAAUUAACUCUUGAUCGAUACAUAGAUUUAUUUAUUAUAAUAAUUUUGUAAUUAAACUUUGUAUCAUCGCUUUAUAAUGUGCAAAAAUAAGCAAAAAAAAGUUACACAAUACAAGAGAUUUAUUUAUAAUAUAUUUUUUAGAUGAACUCUAAGCCGGAGCAGGAGCACUGUAGCUAGAGCAAUGUUUCUCGACAUAGUUGUUAACAAAAGGGUUACGGAAGGUUUUGAAAACCGUAUGCUUACAAUUUUCAUUCAACGUCUUGAUUGUGGCGCAACAUUCAGAACCAACUGUUGGGUUUUUGGAUAACGUCUUCAUCAAACAUUUUGUUACCAUCUUGUAACUGGAAAAACACUCUUUUAAUUCCCGAUGUGGGCUGUGUUUGUGGGUAGCCGAGGGCGCCUGAGAGUAACCCGACCAUUGGAGCUCUUCGUCAUCUGUUGGGUCGCGGAAUUGAGAUGUGACACAGCUUGAAAAAAGAAUUAUAGCAACAAAAAGUGUGAGAUUCUUCAUUUUCUUUGGAUUCUUUGUCGAUGUGAAAUUGAGAAAAAAUGAAUAUGCUUUUAGUUUUGGAUGGCUUUAAGAUGAAACUAUGUCAGGGAUUAUAUAGAUGUUUACAGUGAAUACUUUAUAGCAUAUUCAAACAAAACAUAGAAAGAAUCAUGACUAGUUAUGUAAGAUAUUGUUUAUAUUCGUUUAAGGACAUAAAUCUAAAAUAUCUGACUAGUCAUGUUGUUAACCCAAAAAGAUUGUAUAAUAUCUUAAUGUUGACCAAAAACAUGGUAUGAUAUCAUAAUAAUAUUCUAUGGUCACCUUAUAAAGUGGAAAAACAUCAAAUUAACAUUGCCUAUUAGAAUAUUCUCAUUUACACAACGUUAUCCCAAAAAUAAUAAUAAUAAAUUAGGAUAAGGUUCACAAAUUAAAUCUAAAAAGAUAACUACAAACACAUGACAUAAACCCCUUACUAGAUUUUAAUCCGCACACCCGUGCGGGUAACAUUUCAUUUAUAAAUAUAAAUUUGUAUAUUAUUUUGUAUAUAAUAAUUUAUGAUAAUAUAUUGUUGUCAUUUUAAAAAUAACUAAAUAGAUGAUAUAUACUUCUAAAUAUUAAAAUUUAACAUAUGUUGACAAUUUUAUUUUUUGUGAAAAUUAUUACAUAAUUUAUGAAUAUUAAUCAUUUUAAAAGUUGAAUGAUAUUUUAGUCACUUUAAACGGUGAAUGAUAUUUUAUUUAUUUAUAUUAAUGAAAGUAUUUUUUCAAAAUAUAAUGGUUUACCAAUUCAACAUAAUUUUAAUAUGUUUGCAAAAAAACAUAAUUUUAAUAUGUAAUUCAUUAAUUACUUCUAUUUUAAUAUAAUGUAGGGUAUCAGAGCCUACUUGCGUAAUACUGAAAUCAAAUCUUAUUUAGUCUAUAAUUUGGUAUAGAUAAAUAAUCUUAUAGUUUCAACGAGAAUUAAAUUGGCGUAGUUAUCAAUUUCGCAGAAGCGUAAUCUGAUUCGUGCGUAAGAACAAUAUGUUGUUAAAAUAACCAUUAAGCGUUAGUGCUUCUCUUUAUUGAAAAAUGCAUGGUUAUUUGUUAAUUGAUAAUAGUUUUGUUUGAUGCGAUCAAUCCAACUAUUAUAAUUAACCGAUUAAGAAUAUCUAGAUAUACGCGUUGUCAUGUGAUGAUCUUGUUCAUGUUGCAUACAUAUAAUUUCAAGAGGCAAUCGUAUUACUGUAAUACUUGAAUGCGUGUUUCUAAAUUAACCUAAAACACAUAUGAGAUGUGUAUAUACCAAUUGAACCAAUGAUUGGUUUAGGUUGUUUAAUACAAUUGGUUUGGUCCAAUUGGGUUGGUCGUUUGAUCAGAUUUUAAUUAGAUUAAAUUCUAAAAUCAAAUAUAUAAAUAAUUAAUUAUUUUAAUUAGAUUAAAUUAAUUUAAUUAUUUAUAAUUCAAUUAAAAUACAUAUAAGAUAUGUAUUAGUUAUAUUUAUAUUUAUAUUAGAUAUAAAUUUUAAAUAUAAGUUCAAAUUGAAUUAAAAUUUGUUCCUCAAUUAAUUUCAAGUACUUUUGAUGUCUACCCAAACUUAUCAACUAUCAUGGCUUGUUUCGUUGUAAGAUGGGUUUGACAAAGCAAUGUGUCUGCAAUUACAUAAGUGACGUAGAUGGUAACGGUUACCAUAUGAAUAUAAGACUGGUUUACUUGACUAGGCUAUCAAAACGGUUUUGGGUGGAAUAUAGGUGGAAUCCUCAAGCCAUUUCCACAUGUUGGUUGUGUAAAACGGAAGCUGAGACUCGUGACCAUUUAUUUUUUGAGUGUUCUUACUCUAAGGAAGUCUGGAUUGGAACCAUUAAACAUUUGGCAGGGCAUGGAGAAGUGUAUAAAUGGGAUCGAGUGCUUCGGAUUGUUGAGAAGGGAUUACACAAGCGGAGUUCGACUGUGCUACUGCGUUAUUGCUUUCAGGCCGUGGAUUAUGCGAUAUGGCAUGAGAGGAAUGUGAGAAGAGUUGGUGAGGCAUCGCAGCCAGCUACUUGUCUGAUCGCAAAGCUUGAUAAGCUUAUUAGAAACAGAAUAUCUUCAUUGAGAAGGAGGGAAGGAGGAAAAUAUGAGAAAAUGAUGGAGGAUUGGGUUGACAGAGACUAGUGGAGCUUGGGAGUUAUAGAAAGCAUAAUUCUUUCGGUUUUCAUUUAUGUCCUUGAAUAUAGCAGCAGAUGAAACUCGGUACAAAGGUUUUUUUUUAUUUGAAUAAAUUUAAAAUUCUUUCACAAAAAUGCAUAAUAUUUGGCUUAUAAUAGUGUUGAUAAUUAUCUUCAAAUAAAAAACUUAUUAUAAUUGAACUUGUAUCAUUAUUUUAUAAUGUGCAACAGUAAGCAAAAAAAAAGUUACACAAUCUAGUAGCAAUUAGCUCUUUUGAUCGAUGCAAGAGAUUUAUUUAUUAUAUUAUUUUAUAAAUGAACUUGUAUCAUCAUUUUAUAAUGUGCAACAAUAAGCAAAAAAAAAAAAGGUUAGGCAAUGUAGUAGUAAACUAUUUUUGAUCGAUACAAGAGAUUUAUUUAUGAUAUUUUUCAAAUGAACUCUAAGCCGGAGUAGGAGCAUCAUAGUUAGAGCAAUGGUUCUCGACAUAGUUGUCAACAAAAGGGUUCUGGAACGAUCUGAAAACCGUAUGCUUACAACUUUCAUCCAACGUUUUGAUCGUGGCGCAACAUUCAGAACCAACGGUUGUUUUUUUGGUUAACGUCUUCAUCAAACAUUUUGUUACCAUCUUGUAACUGGAAAAGCACUCCUUUAAUUGCUGAUUUGGGCUGUGUUUGUGGGUAGCCGAGGGCGCCUGAGCGUAACCCGACCAUUGGAGCUCUUCGUCAUCUGUUGGGUCAAUGAAUUGAGAUGUGACACAGCUUGAAAAGAGAAUUAUAGCAACAACAAUUGUGAGAUUCUUCAUUUUCUUUGGAUUCUUUGUCUAUGUGAAAUUGUGAAAAAUGAGUAUGUUUUUAGUUUUGAAUGGCUUUAAGAUGAAGCUAUGUCAGGGAUUAUAUAGAAGUUUACAAUGAAUACUUUCAUAGCAUAUACAAACAAAACAUAGAAAGAAUCAUGACAAGUAAUGUAAGAUAUUGUCUAUAUUCGUUUAAGGACAUAAAUCUAAAAUUUUCAUGUUGUUAACCCAAGAAGAUCGUAUAAUAUCUUAAUGUUGACCAAAAAUAUGGUAUAGUAUCAUAAUAAUAUUAUAUGGUCAUCUAAUAUUAAGGAAAAACAGCAUAUUAACAUCGCCUAUCAGAAUAUUCUCAUUUGCUCAGCAUUAUCCCCCCAAAAAUCAAAAAUUAGGAUAAGGUUCACAAAUUAAAUCUAAAAAGAUAACUACAAACACAAACACAUGACAUAAACCCCUAAUACUCGUGUUGACUCAGAAUAUCGAGGCAUAUAAUCUUGCACAUGGUACUCGGAGUCAACAUUCGUACUUUGUCCACAUGGACACAUAAUCUCCGGUUUGAUUAGUAAAGUCUCAUGUUUAUAUUGAUAACAAAAAAAUAGAGUCGUCAUUAAUUUAAAAUAAUCUUCAGUUCAAUUUAACGAUAUGAUUCAGACUAUAUUUGUUUUGUAUAGAAGAAAAACUGAAUUCUGCCAAAAAUAAUAAGCUAGUAUGUAUUGAAAUAUAGCCGACAACCAAAAAUAUUAUAGCGACAACAAAACUCAACCUAAAAUCAUUCUUUUUUGAAGCUUUAAGACUAUUAUUUUGCAACUUGCAAGUUCAACAAAUAAGCUUGUAAUCACUGUUCUCUACUUUCUGUUUAAGCUUCAGCAGAAAACAAACCAUCAUAGUCUAUUGGAAAAAAGCCAAAAAGCCAAACUUUCAAAUUAGCUUUUAAAUUUAUGUAGCUUAUUAUUCUUCUCUUAUCUGUUAAAGUUAAACAUAUUAAAAAAACUUACCAAAGUUGCCUAACUUCUAACUUCUCUUGACAAAAUUAAAAAUAACAUUGUCCGGAAAAUAUUAUAAAUUAAAAAACGUGUUCGGCCAUUUACAACUUGUAACUUUCAUGUAGAGUAAAGUAACAAGAAAAAUUAAAAAAGAGUUGUUGGCCAGAGACUAGUGAAAACACGGCAAUACAUUUGAAUUAUAACAAAAUUGAAAUAUAUACGCGCAUUCAACCAUAUCAUGUCAACGUGUAUAUGCACAAUUGUCUAUCUCCACCUUGCAGAUAACAUUAUUAUAAUAUAAUAUUUCUAUAACAGACUGUAAACUAUAUCUUCCUCGAACAUUCUUUUCUAUAUAUAUACACACUUAUAUCUUCCUGGAUCCUGUCCUAACACACACUUACCCCUUUCCUCUCUUAGAUCUUUCUUCACAUAAUGGGAAACUACGCUUCUUGUGCUCUAAGCAACAUAACGCCUUCUUCUUCUUCAAAAGUGAUUCUCCCUGACGGUGAAGUGCGUCACAUUCACGCGCCGACUAAAGCCGCUGAGCUUAUGAUGGAGAUUCCGAGCUUCUUCCUCGUCGACGCCAAAACGUUAAAGCUCGGUCGGAAACUUAAACCGUUAGCCGCCGACGACGAUCUGCAAACUAGAGGCUGUCCCGUGUACGUUGCUUUUCCUAUGACGCGUGCCACCACGUCAGCAGCAAACGCUUCGGACAUGGCUCGGUUGUUUUUAGCCGCCAAGAAACAACAGCGCAGACGAGUCAGAACAGCGGUGAAACACUGUCAUAACGGAAGGAUUUCGCCGGAGGGAGAGGAGGAUGUCAAGAUGGUAUCGGUGGGAUCUAAUCUGAUGAGUUUAGAAGACACUGAUGAGUUUUCGGCGGCGGAGUUUAUGCAUAGAAUCUCGAAUUCGAAAUCUAAGAAACCGAAGCUGGAAACCAUAGCUGAAGAAGAAUCUGUCUUAAACGGACUUGAAAUCAAACAAUUAUUGGAACUUGAUUUUUUCAACGCUUUUUUUAAUAUUAGUUAUUGUUCUCGUUUGUAGUGUUACUGAUGAGUGAUGAGAAUGGACAUGUAAUGAUAAAGUUCUUUAAUUUUAUGUAACUGUAAAUUAAUAAUCUUAAGCUCUUAAACCCGUUAUGAUAAUGUCUACAACAUUUUUAUAGUAUUUGUUUUUCAAUCAGUAUUUAAUAAUUUAAUGAAUCCUAAAAAUCAAAAUUACACCACCUUUUAUUUAUUUUUCUUAAAACAACUAUUAAAAUGAUUUAAAAGUUGUAGUAGGUAUUUCUACAAAAAAAACAUACAGUUACAAUCAGAGCUGGUCCUAGAAUAUUUAAGACCAUAAGCAAAAAACAAAAAAGUGGCUGGAACUGUACCAACUAAUGGUUGAAGCUAUGAUCUGAGGAAGGUGAAAUGAGUGAGCAUUGCCACUAGAGACUAAAGAGGAUACACGGAUUAUGUGGCCGAAAAGUAUUUGUCACAAAAUAAACGGCCACAAGCAAUUGCUUCAUUCGCUUGAUGCUAGAUUCCACAAGCAAGUCUUUGCUGUUAUAUCUUUCAAAACUGGAGUUUCUACAAUUUCAAAGCAACUUUCUACAACUUCAUAGCAACUGAUUCUACUACUACUGUUACAAGGCUAAAAGAAAACUAUUGUAUCCUCAAGAUCACGGUUGCUGCUGGUAUCGAUUGAAUAUGAAUCUCUUAGCUUGCAACCUCUUGAAAAGCAGUGAAUGUCUUAAAACAUGUUGAAUAUCCCUUCACGCGAUCCAAACCAUGCCCCAUGAACAAUGCCAUCUUUCACGUCUCCUUGCCCUGAAAAAUCCAACACUACAAGUUUCUGAUUCCACGUGAUAAAAAAAGAAGUCGAGAAGCAGGAGAGGAAGGAUCAGUGUGUAUCACCUUCAACCGAAGACCAACACACAACUGAAGGGAUACUGUCGGAGAAUUUAUUUUCAGACAGAAGUUGGCCAGAUUUGAUACACCAAACGCGAGUGUGGCAGUCAUCUCCUCCUGAAAACAGACAUACAAAGAACCAAAAAAACACUAAAGUCAUAACACUGAAACCAAACUCGUAAUGAUUUUUCAAGCUAAAUUAUUAUUUUUUUUUCACAGAAGAAAGGGUUCAUUUUUUUAAUUACCUGACAUAAUAAAUCUUUCUGAUGGGUCAAUGCCAAAUUUGAUGCGAGUAUGAGAAUUUACAUGUCCUUCAUAUUUCUGUACAACUAAUAUUUAUAGUUAGUUAAUUAUUCUAUAUUGAAAAAAAUAUAAAUACCACCAAAUAUAUAUUGACCACAAGAACACAUGUGUUCAGAAAUCAUCAGAUUUAAAAUAUGAAAACAUAAUUUUUUUAAUAAAUAUUUCACCCUACGUAAAUCACAAGUCUUAUCCUAAUAUAUUAUUAAUAUAUAAUGAAAAUGUUUAGCCUGCUUUAUCAAUAAUGUAUUUGCACUAAUUUGGAGAUUUGAAGGUUUUCACUUUAUUGUUGUUGAACAAUUUGAUUAGUACUUGUAAUAUUUUCUGAAUAAAGUUUCUCUGUUUUUGUUAUUAGUUUGUCAUCCAUUUUUUUUUUUUUUUUGAUAAUCCAGUAUCCGACCACUUUUGCGUGAUCGACUAGCCCACCGGGCCUAAGCUCAUGCCAUUACAGGAUUUUUAAGCCUCCACUUAAGGGUCUCUGGUUACGCAAAGUGGUCUGGAGGGCGAGAGGAGCCCAUGUAAAUCCUCUCGUGGCCAACGCGAAUCGAACCCGGGACCGUAUCGGGGCCGAAGCUCCCUCAAGUACCACUAGGCCAACUCGAGUUGGUUAGUUUGUCAUCCAUUACAAAUAUGAUUAAUGAGUCUAGUCAAUGCAUAAUAUUUGGCUUAUAAUAGUGUUGCUAAUUAUCUUCAAAUAAAAAAACUUAUUAUAUUUGAACUUGUAUCAUCAUUUUACAAUGUGCAACAAUAAGCAAAAGAAAAAGUUAUACAAUCUAGUAGUUAUUAACUCUUUUGAUCGAUACAUAGAUUUAUUUAUUAUCAUAUUUUUAUAAUUGAAAUUUGUAUCAUCUUUCUAUAAUGUGCAACAAUAAACAAAAAAAAAGUUACACAAUGUAAUAGUAAACUCUUUUUGAUCGAUACAAGAGAUUUAUUUAUGAUAAUUUUAAAUGAACUCUAAGCCGGAGCAGGAGCAUCAUGGCCAGAGCAAUGCUUCUUAACAUAGUUGUUAACGAAAGGGUUACGGAACGAUCUGAAAACCGUAUGCUUACAACUUUCAUUCAACGUCUUGAUCGUGGCGCAACAUCCAGAACCACCGGUUGGUUUUUUGGUUAACGUCUUCAUUAAACAUUUUGUUACCAUCUUGUAACUGGAAAAACACUCUUUUAAUUCCUGAUUCGGGCUGUGUUUGUGGGUAGCCGAUGGCGCCUGAGCGUAACCCGACCAUUGGAGCUCUUCGUCAUCUGUUGGGUCGAGGAAUUGAGAUGUGACACAGCUUGAAAAGAGAAUCAUAGCAACAAAAAGUGUGAGAUUCUUCAUUUUCUUUGGAUUUUUGUCGAUGUGAAAUUGAGAAAAAAAUGAAUAUGCUUUUAGUUUUGGAUGGCUUUAAGAUGAAGCUAUGUCAGGGAUUAUAUAGAUGUUUACAAUGAAUACUUUUAUAGCAUAUUCAAACAAAACAUGGAAAGAAUCAUGACUAGUUAUGUAAGAUAUUGUUUAUAUUUGUUUAAGGACAUAAAUCUAAAAUAUCUGACUAGUCAUGUUGUUAACCCAAAAAGAUUGUAUAAUAUCUUAAUGUUGACCAAAAACAUGGUAUAAUAUCAUAAUAAUAAUAUUCUAUGAUCAUCUUAUAAUGAAGAAAAGCAGCAAAUUAACAUUGCCUAUCAGAAUAUUCUCAUUUGCACUACGUUAUCCCAAAAAUAACAAUAAUAAAUUAGGGUAAGGUUCACAAAUUAAAUCUAAAAGAUAACUACAAACACAUGACAUAAACCCUUUACACUCUUGCUCUCGAAACUCAGAAUACAAGGACAUAUAUUUUUGCACGUGGUAUUCAGAGUUAACCUUCCUAUUUUGUUCACAUAGACACAAAGUUUGUAGUUUGGUUAGUGUCAAUCGAAUAUGUUUAUGUUGAACAAAAAAACCAGAGUCGUCAUUAAUUCAAAAUAAUCUUCAAUUCAAUCACGAUGUAAUUUAGAUUAUAUUUGUUUUGUAUAGAAUAAAAACUAAAUUCAACCAAAAUAAUAAAAACUAGUAUGUAUUGAAAUAAAGCUGACAACCAAAACUAUUUUAGCGACAAAAAAAAUACUAAACCUAAAAAUCAUUCCUUUUUGAAGCUUUAAAACUAUUAUUUUGCAACUUGCAAGUUCAACUAAUAAGCUUGUAGUCACUGUUCUCUACUUUCUGUCUAAGUUUCAGUAGAAAACAAACCAUCACAGUCAUUAACCAUAUAGCUUUGAAUGAUGUAGCUUAUUAUUCUUCUGAUCUCAGUUAAAGUUAACAUAUAAAAAUAUUAACCAAAGUUGCAUAACUUCUAACUUCUCUUGACAAAAUUAUAAACAAUAUUGUCCGGAAAAUAUUAUAAAUUAAAAACCUGUUCGGCCAUUUGCAACUUGUAACUUCCAUGUAAAGUGACAAUAAAAAUUAAAAAAAAAAAAAGAGUGAUGGCCAGAGACUAGUGAAAACACGGCAAAACAUUUGAAUAUAAUAAAAUGGAAAUAUACGCGCAUUCAACCAUAUUGUCAACAUGGUAUACGCACAACUGUCUAUCUCCACCUUGCAGAUAACAUUAUAAAAAAUAAUAAUCUAUAACUAUUAUCUUACUCGAACAUUCUUUUCUAUAAAUAUACACACUUACGUCUUCCUGGAUCCUGUCCUAACACACACUUAACCCUCUCCUUCUCUUCGAUCCUAUCUUCACAUAAUGGGAAACUACGCUUCUUGCGCUCUAGGCAACACAACCUCUUCUUUUUCUUCUUCUUCCUCUUCAAAAGUGAUUCUCCCAGACGGUGAAGUGCGUCACAUUCACGCGCCGACUAAAGCGGCUGAGCUUAUGAUGGAGAUUCCGAGCUUUUUUCUCGUCGACGCCGAAACAUUAAAGAUCGGUCGGAAACUUAACCCGUUAGCCGCCGACGACGAUCUCGAAACUAGAGGCUGUCACGUGUACGUCGCUUUUCCUAUGACGCGUGCCACGUCAGCAGCAAACGCUUCGGACAUGGCUCGGUUGUUUUUAGCCGCCAAGAAACAACAGCGCCGACGAGUCAGAACAGCCGUGAAACACUGUCACAACGGAAGGAUUUCGCCGGAGGGAGAGGAGGAUGUCAAGAUGGUAUCGGCGGGAUCUAAGCUGAUGAGUUUAGAAGACAUUGAUGAGUUUUCUGCGGCGGAGUUUAUGCAUAGAAUCUCGAUUUCGAAGUCUAAGAAACCGAAGCUGGAAACCAUAGCUGAAGAAGAAUCUCUCUUAAGCGGACUUGAAAUCAAACAAUUAUUGGAACUUGAUUUUUUCAACGCUUUUUUUAAUUUUAGUUAUUGUUCUUGUUUGUAGUGUUAUUGAGAAUGAGCAUGUAAUGAUAAAGUUCUUUAAUUUUAUGUAAAUGUAAAUUAGUAAUCUUAAGCUCUUAACCAUUAUUUUUAUAGUAUUUGUUUUUCAUCAGUAUUUAAUUAAUAAUUUAAUGAAUGCUAAAAUCAAAAUUACACCAUCUUUUAUUUUUUUUCUUAAAACAACUAUUAAAAUGAUUUAAAAGUUGUAGUAUAUAGGUAUUUAUACAGAAAAAAACAUACAGUUACAAUAAUAAAAUCUACAGACUAAAUGAAUCCUACAACAAAAUUCUAUGUAAGUUACAUCAUGUGAAGGUAAUGAUCUGGUGAUGAGAAUUUUGCUGACAAGUCUGUGGAAGAGAAGGCUUCACUAAAUCUGACUUGUAGUAAGGAGACUCUGGAAGAGCUUAGGAUUCGUUUGCACAAAUGGGUCACACAAGAAACAAACAGAUAUGAGUAAAGGGACAUGGAGAAACGUAGUCAAAAUAGUUGAUAAUUUCCAUGAACACGAGACUGUAACUCUACGAGCAAGUCUCUUCGAAACUGGAGUUUUCUACACUGCUAAGCUACUUUCUACAAUUUCAAAAGCAACUGAUUCUACUACUACUGUAAAUACUAUAUAUCGUGGUGCUAAUGCUAUAAGUAAUUAGACAUUCCUUAGUAAAAUAAAAUUUAUCAAACAAGGUUAUAGAAACGUGACGGAGAAUUGUAGAGAGAAUAUGAUCAUGCUAAGGAAUGGACUUGAGAAGACAGAAACGUUCAACAUCGUAUCAAAGAACGAGGGAGUGCCGCUUGUCGCUUUCUCCUUGAAAGAUAGCAGCUCUCACACUGAGUUCGAAAUCUCCGACAUGUUCGCAGGUUAGUUUUUAUUUGAGACAGAAACUCUAUGAAAUAUUCUAAAGACAGGUGUCAUUUGAUAAACAAUAAUUCCUUAAAAUAAUUAUAUAAGUGAAUGAAAAUAUAUAAAAAAAUUUGUAAUUAUUUUUUGAAAAGUUUAGCAAUGGAGAUGCUCUAAUAUCUCAAAUACUCUUUCACAUUUCGAAAGGUUUCACUUUGAUAUGAUUCAUGCACUUGAGAGUAAAUACAUAAGUUAGACGUUAAUUGAUACUUCAAAGAUUCAUAAAAAUAAGUAACUAGAUUUGUGUUUGAAUAUGAUGUAUCGAAAACUUGUCUGUUUAUAUAUUGAAAUGUAGGUACGGAUGGAUAGUACCGGCGUAUACAAUGCCUCCUAACGCACAACACAUAACAGUUCUUCUAGUGGUCAUCAGAGAAGAUUUUUCAAGAACACUCGCUGAGAGAUUUGUAAUCGAUAUUGAGAAAGUGAUGCGUGAGCUCGAUGAGCUUCCUUCACGAGUAAUCCAUAAAAUUUCGCUAGGCACUACAAGAAAACAUCGGUAUUCUGACGGACAUUCCGAUGGAAAAUGAAAUCCUCAGAAUUUCCUGAGGAAUUUCCGAGGAAAUUCCGAGGAAGCCCAAAUUUUGGGUUUCCUCGGAAUUUCCUCGGAAUAUACCGACGGAAUUCCGAGGAAACAUUAAUCCGUCGGUAUAUUCCGAGGAAAUUCCGAGGAGAAAUGUGUUCCUCACAAAAUUCCGAGGAAAUUUCGACGAACAAGUGACCGAUCGAUGCGUUUUUGGACAUAUACCCAUCGAUCGAUCACAUUGUUACGCUUUGGUCUAUCUUAGUGAUCGAUCGAUGCGUUUUUGGACAUAAAUCCAUCGAUCGAUGCGUUUAUAAAAAAACAUUCGAGAUUUUGAAACCCAAAACUGUAGUUCCUCGGAAUUUCCUCGGAAUAUUCCGAGGAAAUUCCGAGGAACACUUGAUAUCCUAGAUCGAUCGAUGGGAUAAUCUCAUCGAUCGAUCACAUUGUUACGCUUUGGUCCAUCUUAGUGAUCGAUCGAUGCGUUUUUGGACAUAUAUCCAUCGAUCGAUCCGUUUUAAAAAAAAAAUUGACGUUUUGAAACCCCAAACACUAGUUCCUCGGAAUUUCCUCGGAAUAUUCCGACGGAAUUCCGAGGAAGAAAAGGGUUUCCUCGGAAUUCCCUCGGAAUAUUCCGAGGAAAUUCCGAGGAAAUAGGGUUUUUAAACCGAAAACAACGUUUUGCGGUUUGAAUAACACCUAUAUAACCCUUAUUAAGUGUCUUACGUUCAUUAUGAAGUCAAAAAUUUGUUCCUUACCCUAUAAUAAACACUUUUCCGAUUGUAUGAACGAAAUCCCUACAACAUAAGAGAAACACUUAUACACUUUAAUGAACGGUAAAUGGAAUACUUACAAUUCGUUUUGAAAUUUGUUAUUUCAUGGUUUAUGCUCAUCUAUACAAAGAAUCCUCAAUGGUAUGCAUUACAAUUGUAUAAGAAAUGAAAUACGGCAAAAAAAAUUGAUGUUUUGAAACCCCAAACACUAGUUCCUCGGUAUUUCCUCGGAAUAUUCCGAGGAAAUUCCGAGGAACAAUAUAAAUUAAUAGAAAUAUAUGCACAGGAUAUUCUUUUUCCUCGAAUUAAUGAAAAUAUUCUGAGGAAAUUCCGACGGAUAUUUAAGUGGCCGUCGGAAUUUUAUCGGAAUAUUUUCAUUUAACCGGGUAAACAAGCCGCCAAAUAUUUCGCGAAAAUUGAAAUUGAAAAUACUGAGGGAAUUCCGACGGAAAAUAUCCGUCAGACCGAAGGUUUUAUAAACUCGAACCGUAUCUUCUUCCCCAUUUCUCCCUUCUUCCUCUCCGGCGAUCUCUCUCUCCUUCCGGCGUUCUCCACCUUCUCUCGCGACGAUCUCUCCGGCGAAUCCUUUCCAUUCCCUUACAAAUCAUGUAAGGACCCUAUCCCACUCUCUUAGGUCCUAUUUGUUAGGUUUUUAAGUAGAUUUGAUGAUUUUAGAAGUUUUUUGAUAGAUUUUUGUUAGGGUGAUUGGGUAGGAUUGUGAUUUGUUGUGUAAUAGGUUUAGAAUUGUGAUUUGGUUGUGUUGAAUUGAUUUAGAACUUGUUUUAUAAAUUGUUUAUUAUUUUUGUAUUUACAAAAAGUUUUUUCUAUAUAAAUUCGAUUUUACAAAACGUUUUUGUAUAUAAAUUCGAUUUUUGGAUUUAUAAAAGAUGAUUUCAUAUUUAUAAAAAUAUUUAUAUUUAUUAAAACUAAUUUUGUAUUUAUAAAACAUUUUUUUUAUUUAUAAACACUAUUUUUUUUAUUUUUGUAUUUAUAAAAACUAUUUUUAAAUAUACAAAACAUUCUUUGUAUAUAAAUUCGAUUUUUGGAUUUAUAAAAGAUGAUUUCAUAUUUUAAAAUUAAUUUUGUAUUUAUAAAACAUUUUUUGAUUUAUAAACACUAUUUUAUUAUUUUUUGUAUUUAUAAGAACUAUUUUGUAUUUAUAAAAAGAUGAUUUCAUAUCUAUAAAAAUAUUUAUAUUUAUUAAAACUAAUUUUGUAUUUAUAAAAUAUUUUUUUGAUUUAUAAACACUAUUUUAUUAUUUUUUGUAUUUAUAAAAAGAUGAUUUCAUAUUUAUAAAAAUAUUUAUAUUUAUUAAAACUAAUUUUGUAUUUAUAAAACAUUUUUUUGAUUUAUAAACACUAUUUUAUUAUUUUUUGUAUUUAUAAAAAGAUGAUUUCAUAUUUAUAAAAAUAUUUAUAUUUAUUAAAACUAAUUUUGUAUUUAUAAAACAUUUUUUUUUAUUUAUAAAAACUAUUUUAUUAUUUUUGUAUUUUAAAUAUGUUUUCUAUUUCAAUUUUAAUUUUAUAUUUUUGAAUUUCAAUUUAAAAAAAUAAAUUUAUAAUUUUUUUUUUUAUUUUGGAAAUAUUCCGAGGAAGUGUAUCCCUCGGAAUAUUCCGACGACAUCUUCCUCGGAAUAUUCCGAGGAAUUUCCGACGAAAAAAGUCCUCAGAAUAUUCCGAGGAAAUUCAUUUCCUCGGAAUUCCGUCGGAAAUUUCCGAGGAAUUUCCGAGGAAAGAUGAAUUUCCGAGGAGUUAUUUCCGAUGACUUUUUUCGUCGGUAUGUCGUUGGAAUAGCGUUAUUCCGACGACAUACCGACGAUUUUUUUCCUCAGUAUGCCGCUGUUUUCUUGUAGUGAGGAGAGGAGAAGAGUGAAGCUGACGGCGAUAACUUGAUGGUGACGGUGAAGAAAAGCGAUAUGGAGAAGCAGAGAAAGAUCAUCAAUGGCUGGAAGAAGUUUGUUUCCGACAGGAAGACGACAAAUGGUAUCUGUUAACUAAGUAAUAUAUGAUGAAAAUGUUUGGACUGCUUUAUCAAUAAUGCAUUUGCAUUAAUUCGGAAAUUGAAGGUUUUUUACUUUGUUGUUGUUGAACAAUUAAAGUUUCGUUUGAUUAAUACUUGAAUAUAUUUUGAUAUUAUUGCGACAUUUUGAAUAAAGUUUCUGUGUUUUUGUUAUUAGUUUGUCAUCCAUUACAAAUAGGAUUGGUGAGUCUAGUAAAUGCAUAAUAUUUGGCUUAUAAUAGACUUGCUAAUUAUCUUCAAAUAAAAACAGUCUUAUUAUAAUUGAACUUUUAUAAUGUGCAACAAUAAUCAAACGAAAAGUUACACAAUGAAGUAGUAAACUUUUUUGAUCGAGAAAUGAGAUUUAUUUAUGAUAUUUUUCAAAUAAACUCUAAGCCGGAGAAGGAGCAGUAGCAUCGUGGCUAGAGCAAUGUUUCUUAACAUAGUUGUUAACGAAAGGGUUACGGAACGAUCUGAAAACCGUAUGUUUACAAUUUUCAUUCAAUGUUUUGAUCAUGGCGCAACAUUCAGAAUCAACGGUUGGUUUUCCGGUUAACGUCUUCAUCAAACAUUUUGUUACCAUCUUGUAACUGGAAAAGCAUUCCUUCAAUUCCUGAUUUGGGCUGUGUUUGUGGAUAGCGGAGGGUGCCUGAGAGUGACCCGACCAUUGGAGCUCUUCGACAUCUGUUGGGCCUGAUUUGGGCUGUGUUUGUUAAUAGCCGAGGGCGCGUGAGCGUAACCCGACCAUUGGAGCUCUUCGCCAUCUGUUAGGUCAAGAAAUUGAGAUGUGACACAGCUUGAAAAAAGAACCAUAGCAACAAAAAUUGUGAGAUUCUUCAUUUUCUUUUGAUUACUUGUCGGUGUGAAAUUGAGAAAAAGUGAAUAUGCUUUUAGUUUUGGAUGACUUUAAAAUGAAACUACGUCAGUGUUUAUAUAGAAGUUUACAAUGAAUACUUUUAUAGCACAUACAAACAAAACAUAGAAAAGAAUCAUGACCAGUUAUGUAAGAAAUUGUUAUUAUUCAAUUAAGGACAUAAAUCUAUAAAAUUUGCAUGUUGUUAACCCAAAAAAUUGUAUAAUAUCUUAAUGACCAAAAAUAUGGUAUAAAAUAUUUAUCUAUUAAUAUUAUUAUUUGAUAAGUGAAUUUGUUUACUUGUCAUCUUCUCCAUGAUUUUAGGUUAAAUCAAUAGUUUUAAUAAACAAUUUUAAUUAGACUAAUUAAAUAUCUUUAAUUUCAUUUAUAUUUGUAUGUUAAUAUGAUUUUUUCGUGGUAUUUUCAUUUCAUUUUUAUUUUUCUUUGUACUUUCAUUUUUAUUUGUAUUAUUGUUCUUAUGGUUUUCGUGGUAUUUUAAUUUUUUUUCUUAAUAUUCAGUUAAUAGAAUAAAAUUUAUUUGUUAUUUAAUUUAAAAUUUUUUAUAUUAUUUUAUAUUGGGAAUUAAAUUAUAUUUUUUAAAUAUUUUCAAAAUACCAGUAUCCAAAAGAGAAUAUUUUCAAAAAAAAAAAUUUGAUUUACAACAAGUACCUUAUACAGUAUUUAUAAACAUUAAAAUUAACUUUAUUUAAUUUUAAUGUUUUCAAGAGUUUCACAGAAUUAUAACGUUGUUUAAUUUAAAAUGUAAAGAAAAAUGUGAUUCUCUUUUUUUAUAAACUGCAUUUUCUAAAAUGAUUUUUAUUAGUUAUAAUAUUAAAGUUUGAAAGUUAAAAGAUUAUUUAAUAAUAACAAAUUAUGAUUUUGUAAUAAAGAAAUACUAUUUUAUAGGAAAAUAUCAAUCUCUAUUUUAAAGUAAAAAUAUAGAUUUACUAUAGCUUAUUUUCUCAAUUAUAACAUUUAGAAAUGAAAAUAACAAUAAAUAUAAAAUGUUCUUAUCUUAUGCAUUAUAUAUUAAUGUUUUGUUUGUCAAUAUGAUUGGUCUGUUUGAGUGUUUAUACAAUUAUUAUGGAGGUAUGUUACAGUAUAAUUAUAUAUAUAUAUACCAAUAAUUUUAUUUACUCUGAUUAAUAUAUAUAAUAUAUAAAAUUGGGUUUGGUUUAACAUUCUUAUGCUUUUGAUUUAUUUGAAAUUUUUUGGUUUUGAUAAUUCCAAAAAUUUGGUUUAAUAACAUCACUUAAUAUUAAAAGUUGUAUUUUUUUUAUUUAAUUAAGAAAAAAAUUGAGAAUGACGCUUGGAAGAUGCACAAAGUUUUAUAAAUUAAUAUAAUAAAAACUGGUUAAAGAUAACAACAUAUUUUAAAAUAAAAAAUAUUAAUGUUGUCAUCCAAAAUAAUGUCUUUAAAUCAAUAAACGGUAAAAAUUAAGAAAUUGAAAGAUUCAUAAAAUAGUAUAAAUUUAAUAUUUUAUUUAAGUUUUUUGAUCUUUAAACUAAUAGUACACGGUGGCUGACCUAGCAUCAUAUGUAGUUGGAAGCACAAUACUAAAAAAAAAAACAAAAACAAAAAUAUUACGGACUGGGGGAACUUUUUUUUGUUUAUUCAGUAAACUAAAAACAAUAUAAUCAAAUUAGAACUUAUAUUUGGACUGCUAUCAAUAAUGCAUCUGCACUAAUUCGGAGAUUUGAAGGUUUUCACUUUAUUGUUGUUGAACAAUUUGAUUAGUACUUGUAAUAUUUUUUGAUAUUAUUGCGACAUUUUGAAUAAAGUUUCUGUGUUUUUGUUAUUAGUUUUUCAUCCAUUACAAAUAUGAUUAAUGAGUCUAGUAAAUGCAUAAUAUUUGGCUUAUAAUAGUGUUGCUAAUUAUCUUCAAAUAAAAAAACUAAUUAUAAUUGAACUUGUAUCAUCAUUUAUAAUGUGCAAUAAUAAGCCAAAAAAAAAAUGUUACACAAUCUAGUAGUAAUUAACUCUUGAUCGAUACAUAGAUUUAUUUAUUAUAAUAAUUUUGUAAUUAAACUUUGUAUCAUCGCUUUAUAAUGUGCAAAAAUAAGCAAAAAAAAGUUACACAAUACAAGAGAUUUAUUUAUAAUAUAUUUUUUAGAUGAACUCUAAGCCGGAGCAGGAGCACUGUAGCUAGAGCAAUGUUUCUCGACAUAGUUGUUAACAAAAGGGUUACGGAAGGUUUUGAAAACCGUAUGCUUACAAUUUUCAUUCAACGUCUUGAUCGUGGCGCAACAUUCAGAACCAACUGUUGGGUUUUUGGAUAACGUCUUCAUCAAACAUUUUGUUACCAUCUUGUAACUGGAAAAACACUCCUUUAAUUCCCGAUGUGGGCUGUGUUUGUGGGUAGCCGAGGGCGCCUGAGAGUAACCCGACCAUUGGAGCUCUUCGUCAUCUGUUGGGUCGCGGAAUUGAGAUGUGACACAGCUUGAAAAAAGAAUUAUAGCAACAAAAAGUGUGAGAUUCUUCAUUUUCUUUGGAUUCUUUGUCGAUGUGAAAUUGAGAAAAAAUGAAUAUGCUUUUAGUUUUGGAUGGCUUUAAGAUGAAACUAUGUCAGGGAUUAUAUAGAUGUUUACAGUGAAUACUUUAUAGCAUAUUCAAACAAAACAUAGAAAGAAUCAUGACUAGUUAUGUAAGAUAUUGUUUAUAUUCGUUUAAGGACAUAAAUCUAAAAUAUCUGACUAGUCAUGUUGUUAACCCAAAAAGAUUGUAUAAUAUCUUAAUGUUGACCAAAAACAUGGUAUGAUAUCAUAAUAAUAUUCUAUGGUCACCUUAUAAAGUGGAAAAACAUCAAAUUAACAUUGCCUAUUAGAAUAUUCUCAUUUACACAACGUUAUCCCAAAAAAAAAAAAAAAAAUUAGGAUAAGGUUCAGAAAUUAAAUCUAAAAAGAUAACUACAAACACAUGACAUAAACCCCUUGGACCAUGAUUAUCCGUAUAACUGGUUUUUGAAUUUCUUAUUAUUUAUUUAUUUUUUAAAAAAAAAAUUAAAAAGGAAAUCAAUUGUGGGCCGCCACAUGUCAGUGGGACCCGCACAAGGAUCAUGACAAAAGCGAUCCUUAUUUCAUCUUCUUUGUUACCGAUUUUUACUCAAAAUAUGAGGCUCAUCACUUUAAAAACCCUCUUGUUACUCCUGAUAAUUGUAUGCGCAACGGUGAGACUCAUUGGAGUCCUUAGCGACAAGGGCAUUUCAGAUUAAUCUUGGAUAUUUUGAAUUUAAAAAAAAAAAUGAUCAUUCACGGGCCGCCACGUAGUCAAUGGGGCCCGUGAACAGUGUAACGAUCAAUCCUUACCAAAGAAUUUUAAACACUAUUUUUUGCACAAAUUCUAAGAAAAUACGCUCCACACUCGCUAAAGAAUCCUUCAAGAGCUCCCAUUGUGAAUGUUCUUAGAGCAUCUCCAAUAGGAGGUUCUACUCAUUAGAGUUCUAAACAUUUAUAUACAUACACACAUAUAAAUGUUUAGAACUCUAAUGGGUAGAACCUCCUAUUGGAGAUGCUCUUAUACUAAGGGACUCAUAAUACAAGGACAUAUAUGGGGUCAGCCUUCCUAUUCUGUUCACAUACGCACAAAGUUUUUAGUUUGGUUAGUGUCAAUCGAAUAUGUUUAUGUUGACCAAAAAAACAGAGUCAUCAUUAAUUCAAAAUAAUCUUCAAUUAAAAUCACGAUGUAAUUUAUAUUAUAUUUGUUCUGUAUAGAAUAAAAACUGACAUGCCCCUCGAGGGGUGUAAACUCGGUUACGAAUUAAGUUUUAUGAAGUUUGGUUUGAUCAAAAAAAAAAAAAAAAAAAACUGACAUUAUAUGGUUGAAUGACAUUAUUUUGGUUGAAUUUAGUUUUUACUAGAAGGGUGUCCGCGCUUCGCGCGGAAUAUUAUUUUAUUGCUGUUAGAUAUGAUUUUUUGGAUGAUGUAAUUAAGUGGUCUUUCUUAUUUGUAAAGAGAAUUAUUUGAUGUUUUAUUGUGUUAUGUAGUAUUAGGUAAUAUGUUAAUAUAUUAUGUGUUUGUUUUUCAAUAAUGCGUUGUUGUGUGUAUAAUAGUAAUUGUGUGGUGAAGUGAGCUUUUAAUGUAAAUUAUAUUGAAUUUUAAUAACUUUGCAUUUAGGCAUUUGUUAAUUUUAAGAUUGAUGGUUUUAGCGUCAGAAUUGUAUUUUAAUUUGUCACAUUUUUGAACAUUACUCUUUUAAAAUGUUUUUUGCUCACUCUCCAUAUUUUGACCCUGAGUCGUCCUCAUCUAUGUAAUUCGCUUACCUUUCCGGUGUGCGGUGCUUCUCGCCAUCACUGAGAAAAGACUCACCUUUGUGUUCUUGUUUUUCCUCACAUUCAUCUCUUGUGAUAUUAUCUGGUAUUUGUUAUAGAUCAUGCUUACAAAUUCGCAAUUGUGCGGUUGUUUUUCACUGUGUUGUAGGUUGUUUUGGUCAAUAUUGGUCCUCUUCUUUUUUAGAUUUUGACUAAUUUUAGGAACUAUAUCUUGUUGGGUUGGGUCAGAGUUCAGUUGUCUUUGAUGUUGUCUUCCUCUCGUUGACUUGCCGUCGAUAGUCUCUGCUCGUCUUGGUUUUCAAGAUCUGGUUUUUGGUGAUCUGACUUCUAUGCUCUUUAUCAUAUCUCGAGGAUGGCUCCAUGGUUUGAUGAUUUUGUUUCGUCUCCUUUUCUAUCUUUGUUCUCUCAUCUUGUUGCACCUUUCAUUGCUGCUCGCUUCUCUGGUGGCUCUUUUUCGCCAUAUUUGCUACUCCAGGUUUGGAUAGUGUUUUCUUCUGUGUAUGCUUUAUGUGCUUGGAAGGUUAUUUCUAGUCUAAAGUUUGAGCUCUUGUUUUUUGGUGGUAGACUUCCAUUCUCCCUCCCUCAGGUUGUUUCUUUUCUUCUCUUACUUUCCUUGGUGUAGGUGUGCGGAGUUAGUCUUUGGAGCUUUGGUCUCUUCUACUUAGAGCUUUGUGGUUCUUCGCUGGCAUAAACGUCUUGUAUGUGCUUGUUUAGUUUAUGAGGUGUUUCUUACCUUUUAGCUGGUGGUUGUGAUUCCGGUGCUUGUGGCAUGUGUCUUCUUGUUUCGUGGUGACUUUGGUCUCCUGAUGAUUAUUCUUUCUCUGACCUUUUUGGUUUUUUGGGUUUUUUGGGUUGGUGCUUGAUCACGCUCCUUUGAGCUCGGAGGAAUGUUUUGUCUUAUAUUUUACUCCCUCUGUUCCAAAAUAGAUGAUGUUUUAGAAAAGUUAUGAUGUUUCAAAAUAGAUGAUGUUUUGAUAUUUUAUAUUAAUUUAAAUUUUAUUGAAAACUGUGUGACCACUGAUGUUUUAUAUUUAUUUUUAAGGAUUGGAUGAAUUAAUUUUGAUUUAUAUUUUUAAUGUUUCUUUUAGAAAAAAGUGUAUACCUUAAUUCUUGUUCAUACACUCAAAACAUCAAAUAUUUUGGAACAGAAUGAAUAUCCUUUUAUCUUUUCUAACAUCUGCUUGUUCUAUCCAUGAUAUUAUUGGUAAGAUGAGGUAAGUUAGUUUUCUUUGUUGAUCUUUUUCCGGCUCCAAACUUUUAUUGAGUUAGUGUUACUAUAGUAUAAUUGGUUUUUUUCUUUUGGUUGUGGAAGUUGUAGGUUUAGAUUAUGUGUUGUAUUCUAGUUUUUUCUUAUUAGUUUGGUUAUUUGUGGAAGUUGUAGGGCAGUUCUGAGCGAAGUGACCUAUCUUAUCACAUCGGUAACACUCAACCUUUGAUGUGUCUCUCUCUUGCCUAUAAUAUCUGUUUUGUUGAUAUCCAAAUCUACCACGACCUCUUCCUCGAUAUCCAUACCGACCGCCUCUUCCCGAAUCAUACAUAUCCUGUUGUGAGAGUCUGCAUACAUAAGUUUAUCUUGGUUUUGCUCGUCAUGCUUCUCUUCUUCCUCAUCAUGAAUCCUCUCAUCAUAAAAUAAUAGAAAAUGAUAAAAUAACAAAAAUAAUAAAAAAUAUUUAAAAUUAUUUAUUUAUUUAUUUUAUUUAUUUAUUUUUUAUUCAUCUUGAAUUUUAGUGACCAAUAAAAUAAAUUAUCAAAUUUUAUACAAAGAUGGUUAAUAUUAAAAGAGUAAAUAGUGCAUAAUUAGAAAGUACUUCGCUAAAUUGCAAUAAUCUAUAAGAAAAAGGAUUUAAAAUGUAAAAAAAAAAUAUGAAAGACACAUGUCAUCAAACCCCCUUGCCACUUGUCAUUUUGAACAAGCUAACUUUAUAUAUAAAGAUUCUAUACAGAACAAAUAUAAUCUAAAUUACAUAGUGAUUGAAGAUUAUUUUGAAUUAAUGAUGGCUCGGUUAUUUCUAGCCGCCAAGAAACAACAGCGCCGACGAGUCAAAACAGCCGUGAAACACUGUCACAACGGAAGGAUUUCGCCGGAGGGAGAGGAUGACGUCAAGAUGAUGUCGGCGGGAUCUAAGCUGAUGAGUUUAGAAGACAUUGAUGAGUUUUCGGCGGCGGAGUUUAUGCAUAGAAUCUCGAAUUCGAAGUCUAAGAAACCGAAGCUGGAAACCAUAGCUGAAGAAGAAUCUGUCUUAAACGGACUUGAAAUCAAACAAUUAUUAGAACUUGAUUUUUUCAACGCUUUUUUAAUAUUAGUUAUUGUUCUCGUUUGUAGUGUUAUUGAGAAUGAACAUGUAA
This 27975-nucleotide long non-coding RNA is filed under the name Brassica napus (rape). RNAcentral's name for it is "long non-coding RNA (BNAP_LNC012743)". Lineage: Eukaryota; Viridiplantae; Streptophyta; Magnoliopsida; Brassicales; Brassicaceae. The record is from RNAcentral.